CUCGGGGCCUGACUCAUGUGUUCCAUUCAUUUCAUUCAUUUGUGUGUUAAACAAGUGAGUCUUACAUCUCAGCCAGAUGUCAGGCCCUGUGCCUGGUGCCAAGGAUGUAGAGGAGGAGAAGACAGGGUCCCCGAAGAAACUGUCAAAUUGGCCAGCAUCUCCGACCACUUGGCACACAGUAGGUGUUCAAUCAAUGAAUAUCACGUGAAUGACUGGAACAGACAAAGAAAAGAAUUCAACUCAAAGGCUUGAAACUAAGGCAAAGCUUGGCUCCUCUGGGGUCCAACAUCCUUAGCUUUUCUUCUGAGAGCAAUAAACCCUAAAAGGGUCUGACCCUUGGCAAAGGUCUUCAUGCCCCUGUGGCCUUUUAAUCUCACAGCAGCCCAGGGAGAAGAGUGAGGCAGACACAACUGUCCCUGCUCAUCAAUGAGGAAACUCGUUCUUUGAGAGGAAAUGAAGUGCCCAUGGCACCCACUGGUCUUGCCAGGAGAACUCAAGUCUCCCUUCUCUGAGGCUCAGCUCGAGCUCACCUCCCUGCUGCAGGACGAGAAGGCACUUUGCUACCCAGGACGUACAGUGCACGUUGGGACAUUCAGCUGAG
Molecule: long non-coding RNA, 601 nt
Filed under: Fukomys damarensis (Damara mole-rat)
Lineage: Eukaryota; Metazoa; Chordata; Mammalia; Rodentia; Bathyergidae
Description: lncRNA (ENSFDAG00000028108.1)
Source: RNAcentral